Molecule: ribosomal RNA, 253 nt
Filed under: uncultured bacterium
Lineage: Bacteria
Description: partial 16S ribosomal RNA
Rfam family: Bacterial small subunit ribosomal RNA
Source: RNAcentral
UACGUAGGGGGCAAGCGUUGUCCGGAUUUAUUGGGCGUAAAGAGCGUGUAGGCGGCUUGCUAAGUUGAAUGUGAAAACUCUGGGCUUAACCCAGAGCCUGCAUUCAAUACUGGCAGGCUAGAGUUCUGGAGGGGAUAGCGGAAUUCCUGGUGUAGCGGUGAAAUGCGUAGAUAUCAGGAGGAACACCGGUGGCGAAGGCGGCUAUCUGGACAGAGUCUGACGCUGAGGCGCGAAAGCUAGGGGAGCAAACAGG